CAGUAGCCACGGGAAUACGGAGGGUGCAAGCGUUAUCCGGAUUUAUUGGGUUUAAAGGGUCCGUAGGCGGAUCUGUAAGUCAGUGGUGAAAGCCCAUCGCUCAACGGUGGAACGGCCAUUGAUACUGCAGGACUUGAAUUAUUGGGAAGUAACUAGAAUAUGUAGUGUAGCGGUGAAAUGCUUAGAGAUUACAUGGAAUACCAAUUGCGAAGGCAGGUUACUACCAAUUGAUUGACGCUGAUGGACGAAAGCGUGGGUAGCGAACAGGAUUAGAUACCCGUGUAGUCCCUGUCUCUUAUAA
Molecule: ribosomal RNA, 301 nt
Filed under: uncultured bacterium
Lineage: Bacteria
Description: partial 16S ribosomal RNA
Rfam family: Bacterial small subunit ribosomal RNA
Source: RNAcentral